RNAcentral lists this ribosomal RNA (253 nucleotides) under uncultured bacterium. RNAcentral describes it as "partial 16S ribosomal RNA". It matches the Rfam family "Bacterial small subunit ribosomal RNA", at positions 524 to 776 of the family's 1533-position model. The record is from RNAcentral.
UACGGGGGGGGCAAGCGUUGUUCGGAAUUACUGGGCGUAAAGGGCUCGUAGGUGGCCAACUAAGUCAGACGUGAAAUCCCUCGGCUUAACCGGGGAACUGCGUCUGAUACUGGAUGGCUUGAGUUUGGGAGAGGGAUGCGGAAUUCCAGGUGUAGCGGUGAAAUGCGUAGAUAUCUGGAGGAACACCGGUGGCGAAGGCAGCUCGCUGGGACGGUACUGACGCUAAGGCGCGAAAGCGUGGGGAGCGAACAGG